AUGGACCCUCAGCGGCGCUUCCUCGUAGCGAGCCUAGUGGCGGGUGUUUGCAUUGAAACGUGAGCGCGACCCGACCUUAAAGAGUGGGGAGCAAAGGGAGGACAGAGCCCUUUAAAACGAGGCGGGUGGUGCCUGCCCCUUUAAGGGCGGGGCGUCCGGACGACUGUAUCUGAGCCCCAGACUGCCCCGAGUUUCUGUCGCAGGCUGCGAGGAAAGGCUCCUAGGCUGGGUCCGGGUGCUUGGCGGCGGCGGCUUCCUCCCCGCUCGUCCUUCCCGGGCCCAGAGGCACCUCGGCUCCAGUCAUGCUGAGCAGAGUAUGGAAGCACCUGACUACGAAGUGCUAUCCGUGCGAGAACAGCUAUUCCACGAGAGGAUCCGCGAGUGUAUUUGGAUGAUGAAGAUGCCACCGUCAACAAGAUUGCGGUGUCCUGGGCCGGGUCUAUGAGACAGUGGUGAUGUUGAUGCUCCUCACUCUGCUGGUGCUAGGUAUGGUGUGGGUGGCAUCAGCCAUUGUGGACAAGAACAAGGCCAACAGAGAGUCACUCUAUG
This 549-nucleotide small RNA is filed under the name Pan troglodytes (chimpanzee). RNAcentral's name for it is "processed transcript". Lineage: Eukaryota; Metazoa; Chordata; Mammalia; Primates; Hominidae. The record is from RNAcentral.